UAAGUCUCUUUGUCAUGCAUA
This 21-nucleotide non-coding RNA is filed under the name Caenorhabditis elegans. Lineage: Eukaryota; Metazoa; Nematoda; Chromadorea; Rhabditida; Rhabditidae. The record is from RNAcentral.